AAAAAUUAUAAAAAUGUGUUGUACGUACUAAAUAUCUACCCACGCUCUUGUUCUCGGCAUUUCCUAUUUCCGAUAGUUGGUUAAUUUAUUACAAACUGUUCAGUUAUUAUUUUUGACGAUUUCUGUUGUGUUACGUUUCACGAAUUUAAUGAAAAAAAGAUUGAUCCGCUAUGAUUUAUAAAAGCAACAAGUUAUUGUAUGUAAUAAACUUGAUUUUCAUACACAUUUUGGUCGUUUCUGAAAGCACAAUUUUAUUUCACCGUCACGAAUAUGAUGCUUAUACUGAUUUUGAUAUUACCACAAUUUAUAGAGUCACAGAUAUACCGUCAUUUAAUAGCAACAAUGGUACCUUCAAUGGAAUUAAUUCAGUUAUUGAAAUACAUUCAAGAACUAAUGCUAUUGGAAUGCCCAUACAAGACAACGCUGAUGAUAUUCACACUAUAUCAAUGAAUAUAAAAGAAAUCAUUGAUCUUGGAUCAUUUCAGAAUAAUAGUCGAAUGAGUACUUCGUAUAACUCAAAUGAUUGGAAUCAACAAAAUAUAGACUUAGAUGGAUACCGUGGUUGUUCCAGUAAUGUGUAUCGAACGACGGAUUCAGAAAACCAAUUGAAUAAAUGCUAUAACGCUUUUGAAUAUUAUAGCUUCGGAAAAUGCUUGUCGGACAAUUACACGAGAUAUGAUUUAUCUGCUACCUGUAAUUUUUUCAAGUUUUAUUGGACACCCGAUAAAGAUGAUCAAACAUGUUUAACGAUGACAUAUUAUACCAGAUAUAAUUCAGCCGACAAGCCUUUUUUUAUUACAAUGGAUGUAAACAAUGAAUAUAAUAAUACGUUGAUAUUAUCAACCGUGUUGGAGCAAUAUAAUGGUAUAACAACAUUGAAAAUUACUAACAUUGAUUUUAAGAACAAUCAGGAAUAUAAAUUAUCAUUAAAAUUAACCACGACGGACAGAUGGCAAGCUGAAAGGGUUGAUCAAUAUUUUGCAUUUGGACUCAUACGAAUUGCCCAAUGUUCGAAUUAUGAUGAAGAAGAUGUUCGAAUUAUUUCUGUAGAUCAUGUUUCUGGAAAAAAACCAAAACCAUUCAAUAUUCUAGGAAACCGUAUAGUUGAACCUUCUAAUUAUCAAGGUUCAUGUUUAAAUGGUGGGUAUUCUAUUAAGCAAUCGUCAAAAUGCAUUUGUCCUCCUGGUUUUAAAGGGCAAUUUUGUGAGACAGGUUGUGGGGUAAACUCCUAUGGAUCUGACUGUAAAGGAGUAUGUUCUAUAUGGUCUGAUAAAAUGUGUCGUGGUAUGUUCAUGUGUACAAGUUAUGGAUGUACAUGCCCAGCGGGACUAACCGGUCCAUCGUGUAACGAAGACUGUACAAUGGGUACAUAUGGAGCUGAUUGUAGACAAACUUGUUCCGAGCAUUGUCUUAAUAAUAUGUGUGAUCAAUAUACAGGUGUCUGCUUAUAUGGUUGUUCAGUCGGAUAUAUACUACCAUAUUGUAGAGAAAAAUAUCCAUACUUCAUUAACCCACCUACACUGCGUUUUGCCGAUUACGACACGAUUGAACUAGAAUUGGAUUUUCAAGAAAAUAAUAUAAAAGGAGGAGACAAAAUUAUAAAGCCAAAAUAUUAUCAAUUAUUUUAUAAGUCUUUAAUAGAAAAUACAUUUAGAACCUCCGAAAUUAAACCAAUAAGCAACACCAAUAACGUUACAUUAGAAGUUAUCAGAGACUUAGAAUCGGAUACUAAAUUUAUGGUUGGAGUUUUGUUAAUUGCAGAUGAUGGGGAUUUUAAUGAACAGAGUAUAGUAUAUGGUCAAUAUAAAACCCAGUGUAUGCAACCACAAAUAACUGAUUACAACAUAAAAUUAAUGAGAGGAAUACAAAGCAUCAACAUAACAUGGAGCAUAAGUAUCUCAAAUCGACUAGAAUGCAAUAUUACGAAAUAUGUUUUGACGUUAAUGUCAAAUCAAUCACAAAAUCAAAUAUCUGAUGUACAAGAAAUUCUAUCAAGCACAGAUAGUGGUCACGUUUUGGAUAAUCUUCUUCCGGGUUUUAAAUAUAACAUAAAAUUAACUCCUUCGACAAGUAAUGGGACGAUGCCAUCCUCGCCUAUUUAUUCGAUCACUACUCUUAUGACAAAAAACGGCGUUCAAAUAAAAAAUAUUUCUACUAUAUAUGAAAAUGGAAAAAUCAAAGUAAACUGGAUAUUGGUAAAUUCUCAUCAACAUUAUACUACAGUCGAUGAACCAGUAACAUCAAUCAUCAAAUAUAAAGUGAAACGAAUUCUCAGCUGUUCCAUAAGGGAAGUAGAACAAAAUUGGACGUCAAUAACAAUUUUUAAUCAAACCAACUAUGAAAUAUUCGAUACAGUGCCGAAUUCUCAAUAUAGUAUACAAGUUUUGGUUGGCAUAGAAGACAAAAUUACUACUCAACAAGAAAAUAUGAUUAAUGUAUUAACGCCAGCUUCAAGUCCAAUAAGUGAACCAAUCUUAGAUCCUGAUCAUCCAAUGUGUAUAACUUAUAACUCUAUAUUUGUUCAGUGGAAAAUUGAUCCCGAAAAUUGCUCAAAAUUAAAUGGAUUUUUGUCUCAAUUCUAUAUAGAAUUAAAGAAUAAGGUUGAUGACGUUUUACAAACGAGAGAAACAAAAAAUAAUUAUAUUAGCUUUAACGAGCUAAAAUUCAACACAGAUUAUGAACUGAAAGUAUUUAUAAAAACACACUUCGGUUAUAAUCCAGAACAUUUUCUACUCGCCAAUUUCAAGACUAAAUUAGAAAAUUUAAAACCGGUAGAAGAUUUAGUGGUUUAUAAAAAGAGCCUAAAGAAUCGUAUGGCAGGGUUUCGCUGGAGAUAUUCACAAGACACAAAUGUAGACGGUUUUAUCGUUUCGUUUGAUGAGAAUCCUUUAAUAAACACGAAAAACGUUUCCAUCAUACCACCGCAGAAAUGCUCUGCAUGGCCAGAGUACUAUUGUCAUACAUUUUAUAAUUUGAGUCCGAGCAACAACUAUACAUUUAAAGUAUUUGAAUUAGCUUAGAGUAUAAUCAUCUAAUACAAAAAUUAUAGAGAUAAAUAACUUCGAGGCUAUGUUAUAAUAUAUCUAUUUGGCUAAAUAUUGUCUCAAAACAACAUAAUAUAUCCAUUUAAACAUAAAGCCAAAGUCUAUAGAUUAUCCAGAAGGUGGUAAAGUUUUGUCUAUUUUUUUUAACAGCAUCGAUGGACUGCCCGAUUCUCCAAUGA
Molecule: unclassified non-coding RNA, 3223 nt
Filed under: Acyrthosiphon pisum (pea aphid)
Lineage: Eukaryota; Metazoa; Arthropoda; Insecta; Hemiptera; Aphididae
Description: uncharacterized LOC100169299, transcript variant X1
Source: RNAcentral